UGCCAGCAGCCGCGGUAAUACGGAGGGUGCGAGCGUUAAUCGGAAUUACUGGGCGUAAAGCGCGCGUAGGCGGCUUGUUAAGUCAGAUGUGAAAUCCCCGGGCUCAACCUGGGAACUGCAUUCGAUACUGCUUAGCUAGAGUAUGAGAGAGGGUAGUGGAAUUCCGGGUGUAGCGGUGAAAUGCGUAGAUAUCCGGAGGAACAUCAGUGGCGAAGGCGACCUCCUGGACUGAUAUUGACGCUGAGGUGCGAAAGCGUGGGGAGCAAACAGGAUUAGAUA
RNAcentral lists this ribosomal RNA (279 nucleotides) under uncultured bacterium. RNAcentral describes it as "partial 16S ribosomal RNA". It matches the Rfam family "Bacterial small subunit ribosomal RNA", at positions 506 to 784 of the family's 1533-position model. The record is from RNAcentral.